Molecule: ribosomal RNA, 468 nt
Filed under: uncultured bacterium
Lineage: Bacteria
Description: partial 16S ribosomal RNA
Rfam family: Bacterial small subunit ribosomal RNA
Source: RNAcentral
GACGAACGCUGGCGGCGUGCUUAACACAUGCAAGUCGAACGGAAAGGCCCUGCUUUUGUGGGGUGCUCGAGUGGCGAACGGGUGAGUAACACGUGAGUAACCUGCCCUUGACUUUGGGAUAACUUCAGGAAACUGGGGCUAAUACCGGAUAGGAGCUCCUGCUGCAUGGUGGGGGUUGGAAAGUUUCGGCGGUUGGGGAUGGACUCGCGGCUUAUCAGCUUGUUGGUGGGGUAGUGGCUUACCAAGGCUUUGACGGGUAGCCGGCCUGAGAGGGUGACAGGCCACAUUGGGACUGAGAUACGGCCCAGCCUACUACGGGAGGCAGCAGUGGGGAAUAGUGCACAAUGGGCGGAAGCCUGAUGCAGCACCGCCGCGUGCGGGAUGACGGCCUUCGGGUUGUAAACCGCUUUCGCCUGUGACGAAGCGUGAGUGACGGUAAUGGGUAAAGAAGCACCGGCUAACUACGUG